GGAGCGGUAGUUCAGCUGGUUAGGAUGCUGGCCUGUCACGCCGGAGGUCGCGGGUUCGAGUCCCGUCCGCUCCGCCA
Molecule: transfer RNA, 77 nt
Filed under: Stenotrophomonas maltophilia
Lineage: Bacteria; Pseudomonadati; Pseudomonadota; Gammaproteobacteria; Lysobacterales; Lysobacteraceae
Description: tRNA-Asp
Rfam family: tRNA
About the family: Transfer RNA (tRNA) molecules are approximately 80 nucleotides in length. Their secondary structure includes four short double-helical elements and three loops (D, anti-codon, and T loops).
Source: RNAcentral